UAUUUGAUGCGAAGCUGGUUUUCACUUUGAUCUGUCAGAUUUAUCAUUGUUCAUUCUGAGAUCAUUGUGAAAGCUAAUUUCGUAAC
Non-coding RNA from Acyrthosiphon pisum (pea aphid), 86 nucleotides. The record is from Rfam. Lineage: Eukaryota; Metazoa; Arthropoda; Insecta; Hemiptera; Aphididae.